RNAcentral lists this long non-coding RNA (869 nucleotides) under Calidris pygmaea (Spoon-billed sandpiper). RNAcentral describes it as "lncRNA (ENSCPGG00000013935.1)". The record is from RNAcentral. Lineage: Eukaryota; Metazoa; Chordata; Aves; Charadriiformes; Scolopacidae.
UAACAACUUACAUAAAGAAGGAAGUGAAACAAGAAAUCUGACAGAGUAUACUAUUAAAGUAUACACAGGUGACCAAAGGGGAGCAGGGACUGAUGCCAAUGUGCAUAUUAUUUUAUUUGGGAAUGAGGACAAAUCUGAGGUAUUUCAACUCUCUCAGCCACUGGAGCAUCAAGACCCCUUUGAAAGAGGAAAGCGAGUGGCUGGUUUCUAGAAAAAGUAGAAAUCACAGAUGCAUCUAAGAAUUCAGUGUAUUGCUUCAACUGUAACAGGUGGCUUGCUGAGGACGAAAGUGAUGGCCGCACUAUAGUGCAACUUUAUCCACAGCUGCUUGAUUUCUGAUUCUUUCUGAGCGUGUUGCUUCUCCAAAUUCACACGGAUUUGAUUUACUUGUAUUUUAUCAUUUUGAAGGUAUUGUAAUUACUGUGAAGGAACGUCAAAACAAUGCAUUAAAAACAUCACAGUAAAUUAAACACGUCUAAUGUGAACACAGCAUUCCGAUCCUAUUAGAGAUGCUCAAAAACGUCGCAUGACUGAAAUUUAGAAAACAAAAAUUUAAAUCUGUAACAUGGCUCUGUGAACUUGAUCUGAGCAUUCAUAAUGGUAGGCUUGUGCAGUAACAUACUCAAACAUUUUUGUUUCAGUAAUAAUUUGUGGGUAAGUUAAAUGUAGCUCUUUGGUCACAUCUGUCAAUAUUUAUUAAUUUGAUAAAUCUGUUUCAAUUUCAACAUCUGUUAAAAUUUAGAUGUUCUCAAAAUCAUUUUUUGAACAAACUGCACAACCCUUCAGCCUUACCACAUAUUGUUUCCUUUUUCUAUAAGACCAUAACAGAGGCUAAUAAAGAAUUUGUUAUUCAGGAGUUUGCCCUGUGU